This 984-nucleotide ribosomal RNA is filed under the name Triticum aestivum (bread wheat). Its description in RNAcentral is "partial small subunit ribosomal RNA". Lineage: Eukaryota; Viridiplantae; Streptophyta; Magnoliopsida; Poales; Poaceae. The record is from RNAcentral.
AUGAUAUACGUUGUGAUGGCACCAAAUCCAUCAGGUCAGUCCCAAGAAAAGAAGAAAACAAAAGAGAAACAGCCUAUGAAGAUACACUAUGACCUGUUAAACCUAAGGAUGAACCAGGCUGAACAGAAAGUGACUUGUGAGCUUAUGAUGCCAGCAAAGUUACCAGAUUUCUACAACCCUCCCCUUGGUGCUGAUCCGGUUGUCCUCCAUGUGAAACAUCCAACCCAAGACAAGCAUUCUGUUACUUUAAUGAGGGAUUGCUUACAUAAGAACCUUCUGCAUGCAAAACUUGUCAGUGACAAAGAUCCAUAUCUGCUAGUCUUUACUGACCGAUACACAGGAAUGUUAACAGCAUACUUCAAGUCCAUCGAACCAUUUGUAGCUAAGUAUGCCGAACCGGGCCGGAUACCAUUCCCGUCCGCUAAGCUUCAAAGUGUUGUGAGUCAAAUGCUUGAUGGUUUGAAGGGACUGUGGUUCUAUGACAAGUACCAUGGAAACUUGAGAUUGGACAACACAUACUACUAUAAGACAAAAGAUGGUGAUGUCGUUGUGAAGUUGGCAAGUUUUAAAUGUCAAGGUACUAAACUUAAAGACCCUGCAAAAAAGGGAAAAGAUAAAACAGAGACUGUUGCACAUUACCAGGCGGAAGAUUUACAAGCAAUGGGCACUGCGCUGGAAGAAAUAUCUCAAAUGGCUAGUGAUUUGAGUGAGAAAGGCUAUCUGUUGGAUUGCAGACAGAUUGACCACCUUGCCGAAAGACUAAAAGAAGUGUCCAAAAUCCAACUGCUUCAGUGGAUGCGACUGUCAUUUCAAGGAAUCAUGGUGUUUUUCUGGUACUAUACUCUUUACUGCCACGACCUCCAAGACCCGUUAACCAGGGGUGAUGUUAAGAUGGUAAAGCAUGCAAGACCAGAGAUGCCAGUGACAGUUAGCAGUUCGAGGACCGUGGCUGCCGUAACAAGGCUUAAAGUAACUGCAGUAUGA